UACGUAGGGCGCAAGCGUUGUCCGGAAUUAUUGGGCGUAAAGAGCUCGUAGGCGGUUUGUCGCGUCUGUCGUGAAAGCUUGGGGCUUAACCCUAAGUCUGCGGUGGAUACGGGCAGACUAGAGGCAGGUAGGGGAGAACGGAAUUCCCGGUGUAGCGGUGAAAUGCGCAGAUAUCGGGAGGAACACCGGUGGCGAAGGCGGUUCUCUGGGCCGAUACUGACGCUGAGGAGCGAAAGCGUGGGGAGCGAACAGG
Molecule: ribosomal RNA, 253 nt
Filed under: uncultured bacterium
Lineage: Bacteria
Description: partial 16S ribosomal RNA
Rfam family: Bacterial small subunit ribosomal RNA
Source: RNAcentral